AGACAGUGGCAGAUGGGGUAAGAUUUCCCAGGGGUGUGUGUCUGCAUUAUUGUUUUCUUUAAGAGUUUUAGGUCUUCUGCUGAAACUUGUCUCUGUCCCUAUGGUUUAAUGAAGUCUGUUGCUGGAUCUGAUCAGGAAUCAAUUUUCAGGUCCAAACCUUUGAGGCCUGAUGUCCUAGAAAGUCAGGGAUCCCAUACAGUUUUGGGCCACACAAGAGCAGUGCCUGCAGCUCUCACGUCCCAUCCUCCUCACACCUGCCCAUCCUGAGAGGGUGCCGAGGCCAAGACAAUCCUGAAAAGAGUGGAGGUUUCUCACCUGGACCUGCAGCCACAGUUUCUCUUUGAGAUGAUGCUCGCUGUGGUGGAACAUCUUUUGGGAGCCACUCCACAGAGCAAGCUGCUGUACUAUUCCUAGAAAAUGUAUCUCAAUUUCAAAGGGAAAAUGGAGGUUUUAUGGAAACAGCUGAUCAGCUGUCAUGCAGCAGGUGGUUUGUGUGAAGCCUGCCCAGCUCCCCAGCUUGGAGGACACCUGAACUGCAAUCUGGCUGCUGGUCCUGGAAAAGCCAAUGCAGCCUCACAGCCUGUGCCUCUGUUCCAUCAGCUGCAUCCCAAACUCUGACUAUAAUAGAAGUAUUUUGCUGUUUAUCAUCCAAUAAAUGCUUACUGGCUUGUAGUUAGGCUCACUCAUAAGAGUCCAGCCAGCGUGCCAACAGUUAUUUUUAGCUGCCCAAAUUCCAUUUCCCUGUGUUAUUUCCUGCAACCAGACUGACACAUUCCCAUUUUGAUAGCCUUGCUGUUGGUCCCUGUGCUUGCUGACAAAUGAGCUCAUGCCUUUAUUGUUUACCAAAAGGAUGUUUUUGAGGAUUACUGACCUGGAUUUUUAAAUCUCUCAAGUGUAUGCCAGCAUGAAAUUA
Long non-coding RNA from Passer domesticus (house sparrow), 913 nucleotides. RefSeq lists it as uncharacterized. The transcript is spliced from 2 exons. The record is from RefSeq and is a predicted model, not a curated record. Lineage: Eukaryota; Metazoa; Chordata; Aves; Passeriformes; Passeridae.